UACGGGGGGAGCAAGCGUUGUUCGGAUUUACUGGGCGUAAAGGGCGCGUAGGCGGUCAGCACAAGUCAGUUGUGAAAUCUCCGAGCUUAACUCGGAACGGUCAACUGAUACUGUGCGACUAGAGUGCGGAAGGGGCAACUGGAAUUCUUGGUGUAGCGGUGAAAUGCGUAGAUAUCAAGAGGAACACCUGCGGCGAAGGCGGGUCGCUGGGCCGACACUGACGCUGAGGCGCGAAAGCCAGGGGAGCGAACGGG
Molecule: ribosomal RNA, 254 nt
Filed under: uncultured bacterium
Lineage: Bacteria
Description: partial 16S ribosomal RNA
Rfam family: Bacterial small subunit ribosomal RNA
Source: RNAcentral